UGGGGAAUAUUGGACAAUGGGGGCAACCCUGAUCCAGCAAUGCCGCGUGUGUGAAGAAGGCCUUCGGGUUGUAAAGCACUUUCAGUAGGGAAGAAAGGCUCAAGGUUAAUAGCCUUGAGAGUUGACGUUACCUACAGAAGAAGCACUGGCUAACUCUGUGCCAGCAGCCGCGGUAAUACAGAGAGUGCAAGCGUUAAUCGGAAUCACUGGGCGUAAAGCGCACGUAGGUGGAUACUUUAGUCGGAUGUGAAAGCCCUGGGCUUAACCUAGGAACUGCACUCGAUACUGGGUAUCUAGAGUAUGGUAGAGGGAAGUGGAACUUCCGGUGUAGCGGUGAAAUGCGUAGAUAUCGGAAAGAACACCAGUGGCGAAGGCGGCUUCCUGGACCAAUACUGACACUGAGGUGCGAAAGCGUGGGGAGCAAACAGGAUUAGAUACCCCCGUAGUCC
Molecule: ribosomal RNA, 449 nt
Filed under: uncultured prokaryote
Description: bacterial SSU rRNA
Rfam family: Bacterial small subunit ribosomal RNA
Source: RNAcentral